AUUUGCAGUUACAAGGAAAUAAAACCCAGAAAUUGUGUAAACAACAGAAGAGAGGGAUGUACUGCAGGGUAUCUAUCCACUUUUUGACAGAGGCUCCUGGUCUCAGAAAUGAAGACCUCUGCAGAAAAGAAUAGGAAGCCUCUAAAUGAACUCAGCUUCAGUCUUUCUUAGUAAGAGGCUGGAGAGGCAUCCUGGCCUCACAUAGUCCAGUGAAAACCAACUGGACUGCUGUCCAUCUGUGUAUCAGUUCUAAGGUUUUCUCAUUACCUCUGAAUCUCUGAGUAGCAUUCAUGCUCUCUUGCAUUACUGAUGCCUUAGGACUGUAUUGUGCCAAGAAUUAGGUCCCAUGAGAGGACUGAAUGAGCUCUUCAAUUAGUAGAAUUAUCCAUGGACAAUGUGCAGUCUGUGUACCUUGAGCCAUCAACAAAUAGUGAUCAGAAGUUUGUCGACCUGGGGUUCUGAGGUCCUCAUUGCAAUAGACAUUGCAGUCACCUGCACAGGAUGCCAGUGACUUUCCAGUUUUCCCAAACACAGUGUUGCACAGUCUCUGCAUCCUGAUUUUAAAUAUCCCCGUGUAUUCCAAUGCCAGGUACAUUUUUAUUUUCAGUGCCUGCAGUCACUACACCCCUCUGUCAUGCCUCUACUAAAUUAUAUGUCCUCCCAGCCCAGGGUCUCGUGUCUUAUUGGCAAAAGAAGUGGAACAUUCCUUUUCUUCUCAGUAUUGCUUUAUUUCUGAGACUCUCUAGGUACAUUCUUGAUAUCUCUGACUCUACUAUUCUUCUAUAGUAGAGUCAGAGAUACUUGUUGUAAAUAACUGUCUCACAUAUAUACGCAAUCAGAUAAGUCAAAAAUCUGCAGAGUAGACUGGGAAGGAUGGAUGUUUCCACUCUAAUAAAAGGCAGUCUGGAGACAAAACUGCCACUUUUUGUGAAGAACCUCUAUUUGCAUGAGCCUACCACCCUAUAGAGAGUAAUCUGCUUUACUCAAAGACUACUGUUUGAACUGUCAAUUUCAUUUAAAAAACAAAAACAAACAAAAAUCUUUCAAAGCAACAUUUAGAGCAUUUGAUCCAAUAUUGGCACAUCUCAUGGCCCAGCCAGGAUGACAAAUAAAAUAAAAAUAGUCAAUAUAGAUUCACUCAUUAUCAAGUUGAAAAUUUAGGGUCAACACUCCAGCACAUAGGCACAGGCAACUACUUUUUCAAUAGGACCCCCAAAGCUCGGGAUAUAUGGCAAAUGUUAGUAAAUGGGAUGGCAUCAAAUUAAAAGUUUCUGAGCCUCAAAAAAAAAAAA
RNAcentral lists this long non-coding RNA (1292 nucleotides) under Marmota monax (woodchuck). Lineage: Eukaryota; Metazoa; Chordata; Mammalia; Rodentia; Sciuridae. The record is from RNAcentral.